Molecule: long non-coding RNA, 765 nt
Organism: Pipistrellus kuhlii (Kuhl's pipistrelle)
Lineage: Eukaryota; Metazoa; Chordata; Mammalia; Chiroptera; Vespertilionidae
Exons: 2
Source: RefSeq, a predicted model, not a curated record
GAGGGGUUCUCUCUUAGGUAAGAUGGGGACGUUCAGGCGAUUGGUUUGCAAACACCGCAGAAACAUUAUGAAAAUCAAUUGCAGAUUUGUAUUCGUUUUCCCUCUCUCGCUCCCCUCCUCUCCAUUCCACAGAGCGAGCAAAGGAGGAGAGAGAGGCUUAGGGUGGGGUGGGCGGUGGGAUGGGCAGGGGCGGUGGCUGGGAGGGGGUAGAUGUAUUUUUCCUAGCUGCUGCGCUCUCUUCCCCAGGAUUGGGGGAAGGAGGAGGGCUCUCACGGAAGGGGUUCUAGCCUCCUCCCCUGCGUCAGCAGAGACUAGGAUGGGGAUGAGGACCUCUUUCCCCACCGCCUGAUCCCGCCAGAGACGUUAAUCCUUCACCCCCAACUCUCAGGGACCGGGAGGGAGCCCGGGAGCCCACCGGCCGGAGAGGGGCCAGCGCCUACUUGGAAGAGUUGGAAUAAAUCAAUCCUUUUUCCCCCGCCGGGGCUGGGUGUCAAGACUACCUUUCCCUUGGGAGAGACUCCUCAGAAGAGUAUCUGAAGUUUCUCCAAGGUUCUGGACAGGGUCCAAGGGGCUGGAGCAACUGUCAGGAGCAGAGAGCAACCUUGGAUCCAAGGAGGAGCUGUCAGAGCAUGAUUUGUUCUGGAAAAAGGGGAGGAACCGAAGCCCCCAAAAGACUCAGCUCAUUGCAACUCAGGAACAGCCAGGAACGACCCAAAUUAUCUUCACACCCAAAUUUGGAUUAAAAUUUGUUUCCACUUUUGAAAU